AGAGUUUGAUCAUGGCUCAGGACGAACGCUGGCGGCGUGCCUAACACAUGCAAGUCGGACGGAGUUAAGUCUUCGGAUUUAACUUAGUGGCGAACGGGUGAGUAACGCGUGAGAAACCUGCCUUUCAGUGGGGGACAACAGUUGGAAACGACUGCUAAUACCGCAUAAUGUUAUUUGGGGGCAUCCCCGAAUAACCAAAGAUUUAUUGCUGAAAGAUGGUCUCGCGUCUGAUUAGCUAGUUGGUGAGGUAACGGCCCACCAAGGCGACGAUCAGUAGCCGGUCUGAGAGGAUGAACGGCCACAUUGGGACUGAGAUACGGCCCAGACUCCUACGGGAGGCAGCAGUGGGGAAUAUUGGGCAAUGGGCGAAAGCCUGACCCAGCAACGCCGCGUGAAGGAAGAAGGCCUUCGGGUUGUAAACUUCUUUUACCAGGGACGAAGAACGUGACGGUACCUGGAGAAAAAGCAACGGCUAACUACGUGCCAGCCGCCGCGGUAAUUC
RNAcentral lists this ribosomal RNA (502 nucleotides) under uncultured microorganism. RNAcentral's name for it is "bacterial SSU rRNA". It matches the Rfam family "Bacterial small subunit ribosomal RNA", at positions 8 to 526 of the family's 1533-position model. The record is from RNAcentral.